AACGAACGUUAGCGGCGCGCCUAACACAUGCAAGUCGAGCGAGAAGGAAGCAAUUCCUGUAAAGCGGCGCACGGGUGAGUAACACGUAGGUAAUCUACCUCGAAGUGGUGGAUAACCUUCCGAAAGGAGGGCUAAUACAGCAUGAGACCACGGUUUCGAAAGAGAUUGAGGUCAAAGCGGGCCACUAUACAUAAGCUCGCGCUUCGAGAUGAGCCUGCGGCCCAUCAUGGUAGUUGGUAGGGUAAUGGCCUACCAAGCCGAAGACGGGUAGCUGGUCUGAGAGGAUGAUCAGCCACACUGGAACUGAGACACGGUCCAGACUCCUACGGGAGGCAGCAGUGGGGAAUCUUGCGCAAUGGGCGAAAGCCUGACGCAGCGACGCCGCGUGAGUGAUGAAGGCCUCGG
Molecule: ribosomal RNA, 405 nt
Filed under: uncultured bacterium
Lineage: Bacteria
Description: bacterial SSU rRNA
Rfam family: Bacterial small subunit ribosomal RNA
Source: RNAcentral